RNAcentral lists this ribosomal RNA (460 nucleotides) under uncultured bacterium. RNAcentral's name for it is "bacterial SSU rRNA". It matches the Rfam family "Bacterial small subunit ribosomal RNA", at positions 92 to 549 of the family's 1533-position model. The record is from RNAcentral.
CGACCGGCAAACGGGUGCGGAACACGUACACAACCUUCCUUUAAGUGGGGGAUAGCCCAGAGAAAUUUGGAUUAAUACCCCGUAAGAUAAUAGAGUGGCAUCACUUAGUUAUUAAAGCUCCGGCGCUUAAAGAUGGGUAUGCGUCUGAUUAGGUAGUUGGUGUGGGUAACGGCCCACCAAGCCUACGAUCAGUAACUGGUGUGAGAGCACGACCAGUCACACGGGCACUGAGACACGGGCCCGACUCCUACGGGAGGCAGCAGUAAGGAAUAUUGGUCAAUGGACGCAAGUCUGAACCAGCCAUGCCGCGUGGAGGAUGAAGGUCCUCUGGAUUGUAAACUUCUUUUAUCUGGGAAGAAAUGCAUUUUUUCUAAAGUGUUUGACGGUACCAGAUGAAUAAGCACCGGCUAACUCCGUGCCAGCAGCCGCGGUAAUACGGAGGGUGCAAGCGUUAUCCGGA